RNAcentral lists this ribosomal RNA (447 nucleotides) under uncultured bacterium. RNAcentral describes it as "bacterial SSU rRNA". It matches the Rfam family "Bacterial small subunit ribosomal RNA", at positions 328 to 792 of the family's 1533-position model. The record is from RNAcentral.
GGGCCAGACUCCUACGGGAGGCAGCAGUGGGGGAUAUUGCACAAUGGGGGGAACCCUGAUGCAGCGACGCCGCGUGGGUGAAGAAGCGCCUCGGCGCGUAAAGCCCUGUCAGCAGGGAGGAAAAUGACGGUACCUGACUAAGAAGCCCCGGCUAACUACGUGCCAGCAGCCGCGGUAAUACGUAGGGGGCAAGCGUUAUCCGGAUUUACUGGGUGUAAAGGGAGCGUAGACGGCAUGGCAAGUCAGAUGUGAAAGCCCGGGGCUCAACCCCGGGACUGCAUUUGAAACUGUUUCCCUUGAGUGUCGGAGAGGUAAUCGGAAUUCCUUGUGUAGCGGUGAAAUGCGUAGAUAUAAGGAAGAACACCAGUGGCGAAGGCGGAUUACUGGACGAUAACUGACGGUGAGGCGCGAAAGCGUGGGGAGCAAACAGGAUUAGAUACCCUUGUA